UGUAAAUUGCUUUCUAUUAGAAUGGAAUAUACUUGUCGAUAACUGUAGAAAUCAGGAAGAAAAGAGCCAAGGUGUACAGGUCUCUGAAAAAGUAUCAGCUGUGUUUACUCAUUCUUCACAGCUGACCUUCGGUGUAGUUGAAGGGCAGUGUAUGCAAAGAUAAGGGCCAAGCAACUGGUCAGGAAGUUAUGGCAGAAGUUUAGGUCAUAGGAAAGCUGAAAUACAAACUCAAUCCACAUUGAUGAAGAGAAAUCCUGUAGGUCAGUGAAUUCGGUUUAUAUAAGUCGAUUCUUGUAUAACUCAUGUACUGCUAAUUUUUAUGUCGGGGUGCCGAUUACAUAAUCCAUUAGAAUGAUUAUAAA
RNAcentral lists this unclassified non-coding RNA (362 nucleotides) under Hevea brasiliensis (rubber tree). The record is from RNAcentral. Lineage: Eukaryota; Viridiplantae; Streptophyta; Magnoliopsida; Malpighiales; Euphorbiaceae.